Molecule: long non-coding RNA, 650 nt
Organism: Nematostella vectensis (starlet sea anemone)
Lineage: Eukaryota; Metazoa; Cnidaria; Anthozoa; Actiniaria; Edwardsiidae
Exons: 2
Source: RefSeq, a predicted model, not a curated record
UCCGAUAACAAGAUCUACAUUUCGGAAAGUUUGAGUCCAGGAAACAGGGAGCUGUUCUGGCGGCGUUAAGCGCCAGGCAUGAUCUGAAGUUCAAGUACAUUUGGACGCAGAAUGGAAAAGUGAGGAAAAAUAACGACAGCCAAGCUGUGCUGAUCAGUAAAUCACAGGAUUUACUCCACCUCAAGCAACGAGAAGACCACGAUUCACAAGAGGUAGAGUCAGCAAAUUUAACAGGCACGUAAGUCAAACAGAAAUGAUUUUCCUGAAGCAUGUCAGGAAGGAUGACCUUGGGAUGCAAAAAUUCAAAGCUAUAUAAAUCCGCUAUCCCCCAAGCAGACCCCCCUAAACAAACCUUUUGCCCACGAAAUCCUUCCUGACUCACCCAUCACAACGAAAGUAAAAGGAAAGUGAGAUUUUGGUGAUAUGAAUUAUUGCAAAAAAAAUUUAAAUAAUUUCCUUUACCAACAAGUAUCGCUAACAGAUGAUUUCACCCAUGUUGUUGUAUCGCCCACGUCUAUAAGAAUCGCUUCGCCCACGCAGUGCCACGAUCUUUAAAUAAAAUUAAGCUCAUAUUUAGGGGGGUCUGUUUGAUGCGUUUCUUCCUUUACCGAGAGGCCAGGCCCUGCCUGCUCCAAAUCAGGCUAGUUUAC